Long non-coding RNA from Brassica napus (rape), 8218 nucleotides. RefSeq lists it as uncharacterized. The record is from RefSeq and is a predicted model, not a curated record. NCBI's taxonomy places the organism in Eukaryota, Viridiplantae, Streptophyta, Magnoliopsida, Brassicales, Brassicaceae. The transcript is spliced from 4 exons.
AAAAAAGAAAAUUAUCAUAAUUAAGGUAUAAAAAAAUGCUAACGAUAAAAAGAAUAAAAGGUCUGAUCGAUGGUAAAAAAAUAUAAGGCCCACUUGAAAGUCCAAUAAAAAUAGAUCGAAAUUCUAUAGGAGGACACUGGACUGAACAUAGAAAACAGGUGGUGUCAGUUAAACAAUUAAAAAUGUAUGGGGAACAUUGAACCCUUGUUUAAUUCACACUUACUAGUUUUCUUCUUAUGUAUCUAUCGAUUCCUUAAAAUAAGGUAGAGAUCCUAUUAUAUUCUUCAUUUUAUGUUUGUGAUUCUCAUUCUUCAAUACAUACCAUUGUAAAUUUGGUUAGGAAUUAACCAUUGCUAGCUUGAAGAAAUGGUUAGCAGAUCCAAUCAAACAAUGCUACUAUUAGAUUGAUUGCUGAUACUAUAUUCAUGCAUUGAGGAAGACUAUAUUGGGAGUCUGAAGCACACUCAUUCUGGAGUCUCUUUUCAACCAUAAAAAAAUAUAUGCUUUGUGUUCUGUUAAACUCUUUACAAGAACUCAAUAGAUUCCCCAAAAGCGAAUCUGAAGACUGAUUUCUCAAACCCAUGCGUCUGUUCACAUGAAGAGAUGGUUACUCUCCAGGAGAAAGGUCAAUGUUGAGAUGAAGCAAUAAAAAGCAAGAGUAAAGACAUGAAGAACCUGAUUGAUCAUGGACAGGAGAUCAUGGACAGAAAAUAAUGAACAUGAAAUCAUGGACAGAAAAUCAUGGACAGGAAAACUGAGCCAAUGAAUGAGUUGUGGAGACUAAUAUGGACGUUGGGAACCUCUAAGAAGUCAAGGUAACCAGUUUGAAUUCAAAAGAAAUGAUCUUGUUUGAAUUAGACAAGAAGAAGUCGCAUGUGUUGCUUUGGAGAAGCAGCUGGACUUGUCACUUUCACUCAAGCAGGUUGUGCCAACCUCUCUCAUGUCCAUUUUUCCCCAUCUGGUCCUGCCUUCCCUUAUCCAUAUUCUCCUUUGGCCUCAUCUCAUUCCCUACAGAAUUAUUUGUUUAUGUUUACCUUGCUUAGUAAUUGCUUAAUCAUGUGUAUUGCCUAUUUAAAGGUUUUUCCAUCACUUGUAACAGAUUAAUCAAGUAUCAAUACAAGUUCCCUCAGACUAAUUUCCUGGCUCUCUCUCUCCCUUACUUGUGUCUAAACAAUAUUCACAAUGUAAGGAGUUUAGAGUUAUGGUUUAUAGGCUGCCUUAACUCCCUUUCUCUUAAGGAAGUCUAAUACUUGUAAAACUCAACAAAGUCUUUUUUAUCUCUUCUUAAACUCUAGCUUACUGAUUCUAAAUUCCAUUCAUCUUAAGUGCACAAACUCUAAAGUGUUGUGUUACUUCUCAAGGAUUAAAUUCAAACUAGAGAUUCUCUGCCUUAUAUAAUCAGUUUAAUGUCUAGGAUUCUUGGUUAUAUUUAUGCUUUUUGUGAGGAUUCAAUCACAAGUUGGUUGUCUCUGAUCUUGAAUUGUGAGUUCAUGUUGUGUGAUUGAAGGGGAUUCAGUUACAAGUUAACUGAAUACUCUCUUGAAAUUAGAAACACUCAUGAAUUCCAAGGCAUGGAGUUAGAACAGUUACCUUCUGGUUGGGAAGCUAUGGAUCAGCUUCUAUAUGAAGUUAGAACAGUUACCUUCAGUUGAAAAGUUAUGAAUCAGCCCAUAGCAUGUUUGCUAGUACCAUGGAAAUUGCUCACUGCCCAACAAUCCUUUGGACACUGAUUGUGUCCAUUAACUCCCAAGAUGAUUGAGAGGAUGAAUGGAGCAGUGGAGAGAUUGCUAAGAAGUGACUUACCUGAUUCCUAGAGGGUGGCAGGAAGUACACUCAAGAGAAAAUGCCACAAUACAAGCCAAGAGGGCCGUGGUCUUAAGGCAUUGGUGAUCAUUGGCUCUCAUCUUCCAAGCUUGGCCACAUACUCUCAUUCUCAGGUCAAGCUUGAGGAGGGGUGUUAAUAUGAGAAGCCAAUGUCCAUCUUCUUAUGCAAGGGAAGUACCUAAAACUAUACUUAUUCUUGUGUGAAUAGGUUUGCCCCUUGAGAAUUGAUGCAUGUGUGUGUGCAUUGUUUGAAUAAGGUACUUGGAGCUUAUGAUAACAGUCUGGUUGUGGAUCAAACCCUUUGAUGAUGGCAUGAUGUCAGAAGAAAGGGGGGAGACAAAGAACCAGCCACAUUGAGACUUCCAAGCAGUUUUGAAUGUGAAGCAAGGAAUGCAUUGGUGCCUCCUUGCCAUUGAAGUAAGGCUAUGAACCAUGGUUUAUGAGUCCUAAACUUGAUCAUAGGACUCAUAAACCCACUGGCCAAUCUCUAGGCUGAGGGUGGUUGCACUCUUUUUCCCUAAGCGAUGGUUUUAUCCCAUGAGGUUUUUCACACUUAGGUUUUUAAUGAGGCAAGUACUCUCAGUUCCAAGCUUGCCCAAAGAUAUCCUAUGGUCAAGCUUGAGGGGGAGUGUUGACAUGAAGAAAUAAAAAGCAAGAGUAAAGACAUGAAGAACCUGAUUGAUCAUGGACAGGAGAUCAUAGACAUGAAAUCAUGGACAGAAAAUCAUGAACAGGAAAACUGAGGCAAGGAAUAAGGUUUGAAGACUAAUAUAGACGUUGGGAACCUCUAAGAAGUCAAGGUAACCAGUUUGAAUUCAAAAGAAAUGAUUUGGUUUGAAUUAGACAAGAAGAAGUCACAUGUGUUGCUUUGGAGAAGCAGCUGGACUUGUCACUUUCACUCAAACAGGUUGUGCCAACCUCUCUCAUGUCUCUUUUUCCUCAUCUGGUCCUGCCUUCCCUUGUCCAUAUUCUCCUUUGGCCUCAUUUCAUUCCCUACAGAAUUAUUUGUUUAUGUUUACCUUGCUUAUUAAUUGCUUAAUCAUGUGUAUUGCCUAUUUAAAAGUUUUUCCAUCACUUGUAACAGAUUAAUCAAGUAUCAAUACAAGUUCCCUCAGACUAAUUUCCUGGCUCUCUCUCUCUCUUGCUUGUGUCUAAACAAUAUUCACAACGUAAGGAGUUUAGAGUUAUGGUUUAUAGGCUGCCUUAACUCUCUUUCUCUUUAGGCAGCCUAAUACUUGUAAAACUCAACAAAGUCUUCUUUAUCUCUUCUUAAACUCUAGCUUACUGAUUCUAAAUUCCAUUCAUCUUAAGUGCACAAACUCUAAAGUGUUGUGUUACUUCUCAAAGAUUAGAUUUAAACUAGAGAUUCUCUGCCUUAUAUAAUCAGUGUAAUAUCUAAGAUUCUUGGUUAUAUUUAUGCUUUGUGUGAAGAUUCAAUCACAAGUUGGUUGUCUCUUAUCUUGAAUGAUGAAUUCCUGUUGUGUGGUUGAAGGGGAUUCAGUUACAAGUUAACUGAAUACUCUCUUGACACGAAAAAACUCAUGAAUUCCAACAGUCAAAAACUAAUAACGUAAAUGAAAAGGUCAAAGAGUUCACAAAAACCUCUAGGGAUAGAAGAUUUCUGUAUCUUCAUGAAGAAUUCAUGAACUAAAUAAUUCGUAUUUCUCACAUGCAAGCAGCACCUGCUUAAGACACAAAUAUGAAUCCACUACCGAACAUGCAACAUUAAUUGUGUUAUGAGAAGAAGAAAGAUUGAACCUCCAUGACGAGGCCACAUGUGACAGGAGAAGGUUUGUGCCCUCUUUGCUUCAACUGUUGCAAAAACCCAGAAGGUUCGUUCCCAUUAGGAAUGUUAAAAUGGGUAAACCCACCCCAUUUAGACCCACCCCAUUUAUAACCCACCCCAUUUAGAACCCAAACCCGUUUAGACCCAUUUAGUUUUAAGGUCUAUUAGGGCUCCCCAUUUAAACCCACAAAUUUUACUUUGACCCAUUAAGACCCAUUUAGACCCAUUUAACUCUUUUUUAAUUUGUUUCAUACAUUUCUUGUUUUAAUUAUAUUGUAAAUCAAAUUUUUUAUGGUACAAAAAUUUAUAUUCUUAGAUAAUAUUGUAAUUUUUAAUGGUUACUACUUAAUUUAAUUUAAAUAAAAUAAAAUGAUAAAAACAAUUUGAAAACCUGUAUAAUAAUAAAAAAUCUUCAAUUGUAAAAGCAAUGUUUGAAACCUUUGGUAUUAAUUGAACUCAAAUGUGGGAACAUAUUAAAACCAAUGCUUACUUGCUAGUUGCUACAUACGACUGAUGCCAGCAAAUAUAUAAUCAAAUAACUAGAAUCUCAAAGUGGCAUUACAAUAACAAAUUUAAUAACUUAAACAAGUUCAAUAAUUUUGUUCUCGUUAUGUUUCCAAACAUAAUAAAAGAAAGUCUCAAACAUGUUUCAUGGUGGUACACUUGAGCCUUCUGAUCUUGAACUUCCAACUCCAUAAGCACUUGUAGUCUUUCCAACAUCAUCUUCCUUGCACAUAUCAUCAACAUCUUCUGUAGUACCUACAAGUCAACCGGUGAAUUAGCAUAAAACACAUUAUACAAUAGUUUUAAUAAAUUAUGAAAUUUACCUUCAUAUUCUGCAAACCCACGCAGCCAGUUGCGGGUACAAAGCAAAGCUUGAACAUUCUUGGGAAGCAAACGGUUUCUGUAGGGAGUUAACACUCGACCACCAAUGCUAAACGCUGAUUCUGAAGCAACCGUGGUAAUUGGGAUACUAAAAAUAUCACGUGCCAUAGUAGCUAAAUCACCAAAUCUAAACUGGUUCUCUCUCCAAUAGCUUAAAACAUCCAAAUCAGGAAAUGACUUUCUAUCUAGCCUUUUUUCCUCCAAAUACACAUCUAAAUGUGUUUUUGUGUUUCCCAUAUCACUUCCAAGGCUUCUUUCUAGUUCAAAGAGAUCCUAAUAUUAAAUUGAAAGUUAGAAGCAACUAGAUCCUGUAAAUGAGUUCAAGCAAGCAACCAAACAGUCGGGUAAAUGAAAAAUAUAAGUUAGAAGCAACUAGAUCCUGAAAAAUGAGUAGUAAUAAUACUGAAAGGUUUCAGCAACUCACUUAUUUUUUCUCCACGAUUCCACUCAUCUUCCACUACAAGAAAUAUGGGUUUUGAUAGCAGUAGAGGAUAGCGUUUUUUGCCUUUCUGCUAUGGUUGACAUACCCUUUAGUUUUAGAUAGCGUUUAUAUAUUUUGAAACGCUAUGAAAAGAUGAUAUAUUUAAAAACGCUAUGAUAGCAUAUUUUUAAUAGCACAAAAUUAAAAACGCUAUGUUUGUCUUUUUAAAUCCCUAAAACGAAUUUUUAAACCCCAAAAUCUAAACACAAACUUUAAACUCUAAUAUUCUAACAUUAAAUCUUAAAUUUAACUUAAAAUAUUAAAUAUAAAAUUAAAGUUAUUUCUUUUUAAAAAUUAAUUGCAAAUAUCAAUACCCUAAACCUUUAACCAUAUACUCAACCUCUAUUCUAAACUCAUAACUUUAAAUUUAAACUCUAAAUAAAAAAAUAAUUAAACUUAAAUCUAAUUCUUAAAAUAAAUUCAAAUUUGGUUUCAAACUUUAGCUUUAAAAUCUUAAAUCAAUACUCCAAAAUUUUAACCCUCAACCCCUAUAUAUAUAUAUAUAUAUAUAUCAUACUCCAAAUUAAUCAUAUACCCUAAACUCUAACUAAAAUAUUAAAACUCUAAUAUUUUAUAUUAUUUAACUUUAAAUUGCAUAUUGCUUAUAAAAGUAAAAUCUAAUCAUCUUAUUAAUCAUAGUUAUUUUGCUGAGUUUGUUAAUCUUAAUUUUAUUUGACUUAAAUUGCUUGUAGAAAGUGAAAUAUAAGCAUUUUGUAAUCUUAUAUCAUUAGUUUUAUAAAAUCAAUAUAUAAAUUUAAAAUUUAUAUUUUUAAAAGUUUAGUCACAAAUCUUAAUCCCACAAUCUAACCUAUACUAAAAGGUGAAUAUGAAGCCUUGUGAGACUAUCCACGUCAGAAAAAAUAUUUAACCAAUUAAAACAUUUCUUUUUACCACGUCACAGAUAGAAAUGAAAAUGUUGGACCUGAUUUUUUUUAUCUGUUCCAAAAUUUCCGUGUGGCCUGUUAAGCCCAAACUUGAGAUGCUGAUUUGUUGAUAUGUUUCGUCUCUUCUACUUCUCCAUCUCUGUUGCCGAUUCUUUCACCUCUGUUUUUUUUUUGUUGGUAAAACCACCGUUUCUUUUAUGGUAAAACCUCCGUUUUUUUGAUGAAACCAACCUCAUUAAUUUUUAUCAAUAAAAGCAGAUGGAUUGUUGGUUGUGCGGCUGUGCGAUUGACAUCAAAAUUCACAAAGGAUGAGUCCCCUGUUCGUUUUAUCAACGCUGCGACAAGCCGCGGCAGCUCAAAAUCAUCUCUUCAGUUACGGCAAACACGUGACUCGCCGAUUUGUAGGCCGUUCGUUCUAGAUCCACCAUUGAAGUGGGUCUCUUCAGAUUUGGGAAUCUUGGAAUGGGAAGAAAUCCGGUGAAUUUAUGGGGGUUAGUAUGCUUCUCCUUGAUGGAAAAUUAAUUCCGGUAAGCAAACACAUGACCACCUUCCAAUUUCAUGAAGAUUUUAUACUUUACAAUUCAUAGAAAAGUAGUCUACUUUUGUUUCUUUCACUUUUCAUUUCAUCUGUUUGAAACCUAGAAUACAUGCCUAGACAGGUCAUGUCUGAACUCUUUCAUUCUUCUCUCUUCCAUGGAUCUGUUUCUUAAAAUUAUAGCACUUCAUUACUGAGCUUGGAAGCUGUCUGUUCUUCUGUAGACGCCACGCCGUCAAUGGUUUACGGUUUCUGAGAAAAGGGACCCUUUUCAAUAAAGCAUAAAUCUUUGCUAAUAUUGUCGAAUCAAUUGAUGAAUGGUUAUAAAGGUAUAGUUUUUCUUUUUGUUGUUAUUGCAGUUACUUUGUCGAAGACAAAAAGAAAGGAAGGGAGGGAGGGAGCACAAGGAGAGUGUUGUUAAUUAAAACAGAGAGGCUGUCAAGAAAUAAUUCUGAAUAUGCUUUCUCUUUUGAAAACAUGAGAAAUAUCAAAUUCAAGGAGUUCAGACAACAAUAUAGACACAAUGGAAGGUCGGUUUCUUUGUUGUUGUUUUUGUAACUAUGAAUAAAUGGGCGUUGCUUGAAUGUAAUUGAGAUUAAUAUAUGUACAUUAAGUCUUUGAUUUGUAGUUUGGUUCUUAUUGGUUCAGGCUCAAACAAAGUGAUGCAGGUUGUCUUGGUCAUUCUGCUUCUGAUGAAAUCCGUCAUGCCAUCUUUAGAGCCUCAAGGUUGUGUACUAUGUUUCUUAAAGUUGUAUUAUACUUGGUCUAAACUGUUGUCUGAUGCGUUUUUGCAUAUGUUUUGGAAUGUUUUUUAAGCUGCUUUAUGGUGAUGCUGGACUUCUUAUUGCAGAUAUGCCAAAUGAAGAGGUUGAAAAGCUUAUUUAACGCGAUGACUUAUUUAACGCUUCUGAAAGUUCAGAAUUUUCAAGGACUAGAAGCACUGCUGUAGAAACGGCUUGUUGGCUUUUCCUGAUACUACUUCUGGAACACACUUCUAUUUUGGCAAUGAAUGUCUCACCGGCCAGAGUUUUCUAGCAGCGUAAGAGAUUCCAUACUAACUGUUGUUUAUGAAAUCUGAUACACACUGUUCUCCAAAGACGGAUUAAUUUUUUUUAGUAGUUUAUCUGGAUCUGAUGAUGGUUACAGCUUCACAUCUUCCAAGUAUGGAGAUGUGCGAAAAAAUGAAACAGUUACUCUUGCUGAACUGAACAAUUACGUACUGAACUCUCCACCGCAGGUUCGUCCACUUAGUUCGUUUUAUAGCUAUAUAUGUUUGAUUCUCUGAAAUCAUCAAGACAGUCCGGUGGACCCAACAACACAAGCUCCUCAAACUUCUGCUCCCAAGAAAUUUCUGAUGCCCAAGAAGACCCAUUGCAUUUAAGAGAUCCAACGCAGGAGUUUAUGAGUUAUAAACAGAGGUUGCGGUCCCAUUAGCUAUCUAGAAUUUUAAGUAUGAGUCCAAUAAUAAAGUAGUACUUUCCGUUCUCACCGAACCCAGCGUAAUCUGGUUAUUUUCUUAUUACGGUUUAGUUUUGGUUUCAAAUUUUUUGUUUCGAUGGUAUCAAUUUUUUUUACAGCCGAAGGUAUAAAUCUUAAGACUUUAAAAUGAAGAUAAGUGUACCUCAUGUUGUAAGAUGAAUUAUUAAACAGCACAACUAACAGACAGAUUAGAACGACCCAAUUUAGUUUUACCAGUGUGACUUGAUUCAUAAAUUGAAUUUAAACAUCCUGUGGAGUUGCACAGAAAAUAUCAUCCACGCAUUGGCAUCUUACAUCAAGCAAAGCCUGCGCAAUUGUACAUCGUCAAUCGUAAACAUUGAAAC